CCCCAGGUCAGGCGGGGCUACCCGCUGAGUUUAAGCAUAUCAAUAAGCGGAGGAAAAG
This 58-nucleotide ribosomal RNA is filed under the name Minaria harleyi. Its description in RNAcentral is "Barjonia harleyi partial 26S ribosomal RNA". Lineage: Eukaryota; Viridiplantae; Streptophyta; Magnoliopsida; Gentianales; Apocynaceae. The record is from RNAcentral.